UCGCGCGUGUGAAUUCGCGUGUCAGCGAGAACUGAACGGAACGGUAUAAAGCGACGCCAAAGUCAGCUGCGUUGGAGCUUUUAUUUUUUUUCGGCGUGAGAGUGAAAAAAGUGCCCCAUAAGAGAGAGAGAGAGAAAGAUAGUAAAGUUGAGAAAUGAGCACCAGGAUCGACACGAAACUGGAUGACUGGGUUGGGGGGCUUUCAAGGCUGAGCGGUCUUGUUUAUGUGGCAUAAACAAAAACAUUCGCUGUCAGCUAAUUUUGUUGAAUGUUUUUGCACUGAUUGCAGAAGUGCGGGCAGUUGCAUAAACAAUAAACAGCGCCAGUUCGAUUGCAUCGAUUUGUGGGCGACGACAGAGCGAGGUGCAACGCGAUCUGGAUACAAAGGCUUCAGGUUUCUCUUUUCCAGAUGUGAUCCCCUGCUUGCCCUGUGUGUGUAUUUUUGACUAGACCGGCUCCGGGACAAACAUUGACACAAGUGUUGAGUACCAACAACAACGUCAAUAAAGCCGCAACAAUUACUCACCUCGCUGGGUGACAUGGAUGUGGAUGACAUUGAUUUUCCUUCUCUCCGCUCCAGCCUUCUGACCUUCCAGUGCUCUCUUUCUGCAGCCCUGAAUUCCGUCGAUUUUGUAGGUUUCCAAUGCGAAGAAUCCGGUUUAAAUUACAACUAAAUUAAAA
Molecule: long non-coding RNA, 681 nt
Organism: Drosophila willistoni
Lineage: Eukaryota; Metazoa; Arthropoda; Insecta; Diptera; Drosophilidae
Exons: 2
Source: RefSeq, a predicted model, not a curated record